CUCGCCUUCUGCCAGCGGUCUGGAGGUUCUCAAUUCUGGCAAUCCAUCUUCCAGCUCCUGCCGAUCCUCCGCAUCGGCACCUCGAUUGCGGUGGGCUCGGGCACCUCCACGAUGUUCUGGUUCGAUAGAUGGGCUGGGGAUGCUCCCCUCGCAGCCCGGUUUCCCGACCUAUUCUCCAUCGCGGUUGAUCCGCGGAUCUCUGUUUCGGAGAACGUUUUGGAAGAACACGGACUCGCGUUUCGGAGAACGUUUGGCCCGGUUGAGAACGCGGACUGGAAUGAGCUGCUGGAAUGCAUAGCGUUGCAUGAGCCUGUUCUUGAGAUGGGAGAAGACCGUACCAGGUGGCGUCUAGAGCCAUCGGGGCAAUUCUCUACUAAAUCUCUAUACCAGGCCAUAGCACCCUCGUUGGGGCAUGAGGCACUCACUUCCAUUUGGGAACUCCGGCUCCCAUUGAAGAUUAGGAUCUUCUUAUGGCAAUGGAUUCGCGGUCGCCUCCCCUCUGGCGUGGAGGUCCUGAAGCGCAAUGGACCAGGGGAUGGGCGCUGCCCGCUUUGCGGGCCGGAGGAGGAUUCGAACCAUAUCUUCUUCACCUGCGUGUCCGCGCAGUUCCUUUGGAGCUGUUUCCGCGAUAUAGUGGGUGGAAGCCGGGACCACAACAACUUCCCCGCUCUUUUCGCAGAACUCCAGGCUUUAGCUCCCUCAAUUCGCCACAUUAGGUGGUUGACCAUUGGGGUACUAGCCUGGACGCUGUGGACUAUUAGGAAUAAGCUUGUGAUUCAGCGCAUUCCUCUUCGUCGUGCUACUGACGCUUUGUUCAAAUGGUCUGGUUACUUGCAGAUUUGGUGGCCGCAUAGCCGUCCCCGGGAGAGAGACGCCAUCACCUCCAUCAUCACCCAGCUUCGCUCGAUGGCACUCCGGAUGGCUCCUCCGCUUCCCCACCACCGCCGGAGCCGGAUUAGAUCGUCUACGCCUUGCCACCGCCUUGUUGUGUUGUGUGUGUCUUACUUUGAUGUUGGGCUUGUUGUGCUGUGCCCAUAG
This 1038-nucleotide ribosomal RNA is filed under the name Triticum aestivum (bread wheat). Its description in RNAcentral is "partial small subunit ribosomal RNA". Lineage: Eukaryota; Viridiplantae; Streptophyta; Magnoliopsida; Poales; Poaceae. The record is from RNAcentral.